This 358-nucleotide RNase P RNA is filed under the name Micavibrio sp. RNAcentral describes it as "RNase P RNA component class A". It matches the Rfam family "Bacterial RNase P class A". Rfam says of the family: Ribonuclease P (RNase P) is a ubiquitous endoribonuclease, found in archaea, bacteria and eukarya as well as chloroplasts and mitochondria. Its best characterised activity is the generation of mature 5'-ends of tRNAs by cleaving the 5'-leader elements of precursor-tRNAs. Lineage: Bacteria; Pseudomonadati; Bdellovibrionota; Bdellovibrionia; Bdellovibrionales; Pseudobdellovibrionaceae. The record is from RNAcentral.
CCAGACGGUCGGAUGGCCGCGCGUGUUUACAUGCGAGGAAAGUCCGGGCAUCACGGAAACAAGGCGCCGGGUAAUACCCGGGGGGCGCGAGCCUAUGGAAAGUGCAACAGAGAGUAGACCGCCUUUUUUAAGGUAAGGGUGAAAGGGUGCGGUAAGAGCGCACCGCGUGACCAGUAAUGGAAACGGCAUGGUAAACCCCGCCUGAUGCAAGACCGAAUAGGACUGUCAUGAUAAUGUGUUUCCGCAUUGACGGUCGGGUUGGUCGCUAGAGGGCCUAUAGCAAUAUAGGCUCAAGAUGAAUGGUCAUCACUGCUCCUCGUGGGCAGUACAGAACCCGGCUUAUAGACCGUCUGGCUUU